AGGCUGGCUGGCUGGGAAAGGUCUGGCUCAGGAGUCACUGGGGAAGCAGCCUGCAGGUGUUGGAUCUCACUUACCUGCACCUGUCUAGAGGGAGUGAGGAAAGGCCAGUGAAGUGUCAGAAUGGGGUCGUCAUCCUAAGUACAAGCACAGACCUUUGGGAUAAUGAACUGAGCAUGAGGAUUAUGAACAUCUUAUGAAGGCCCGUAGGCAGAUGUAGGUCCCAGAAUUUCCAGAAUGAUUCUGAUUUCAUGUACUUUUUCACUUUUAAUAAAAAUCAAUCUUUUAAAAUAUAAGUAGGGGCCGGCCACGCAGCCGAGUGGUUAAGUUCACGUGCUCCCCUUCAGCAGCCCGGGGUUUCACCGGUUCGGAUUCUGGGCACCGACAUGGCACCGCUCAUCAGGCCAUGUUGUGGCCGCAUCCCACAUGCCACACUAGAAGGACCCACAACUAAAAUAUACAACUAUGUACUGGGGAGAUUUGGGGAGAAAAAGCCAAAACAAAAAAAAAAAAAGAAAAAAAAGGGAGAUUGGCAACAGUUGUUAGCUCAGGUGCCAAUCUUUAAAAAAAAUAUAUAAGUAAACAUGGUUUCAUUUUUGUAUCUUACAGAAAUAAUUUUACAAACUAGAAACAAAGAUGUCCUUUAUUGGACCAUGUGCCUUGGCUUCUGCUUCAGAGUAAGUGAUCACUCAGUCUAUGCGGCCAAAUGGGUGCAGUGUACAGGGGCAACGGCCCCGCCAUCAUGGGUUCAGAAGGAAAAAGAGAGUCACCUAGCAUCCACUGCAAUUUUCACGGCAAAUAACCUGUUUUUCUUAAUCAAGAUGGAACUCAAAUGAAAUAAAAUUAGCCAUUUUAAGAACAGUUCAGUGGCAUUAGUCCAUUCACAAUGUUGUACCACCUCUGCUUCUAUCCAGUUCCAAAACACUCUCCUCACUCCAACAUAAGAUCCCGUACCUGUUAACGCCGUGGUUUUACUUCCUAUUGCCUCCUCCUCCCAGCACCUGGAAACUACCAAUUUGCUUUCUGUUUACCUAUUCCGGAUAUUUCAUAUAAGUGGAAUCAAAUAAUAUUUGACAUUUAUUUGUGUCUGGCUUCUUUCAUUUGGCAUAUGUUUUCAAGGUUUACCCAUGUUAUAGCAUACGUUACUACUUCAUUCCUUCCUACAGCUGAAUAAUAUUCCACUGUAUGAAUGUACAUUUUAUUUAUCCAUUCAUCCAUUGGUGGACAUUUGGAUUGUUUCCACCUUUUGGCUUUUGUGCAUAGUGCUGCAUUGAACAUUCAUGUACAUGGCAAAGAGCUUUUGCUCUUCUCUUCUUUGAACACUCUUGAAAGAUAGGGAUUGGAGGAACUUCACCUGACUUCAUCCCCAAUUCCUCUGCUUAACCUCUUCAAUUUCAUUCUUAUCUCAAAUUCCAGCUUGGCUCGUCACUGAGUGGGAACUAAGACACUGGUUACACGAGGUUUUGCUGCGUCAUAGUAUGUUGUUGUAUGUAUGUGUAGGGACAUCCUGCCCGAUAAGUUUGGUAUUGACCCUGGAGACAGCCAAAAAUGCUGGAGAGAUGAUUCCUGUACCGUGGCCAGUUCUAUGAAUCCUGACUUAGAGAAUUGCCAUGAUCAUACAUGAUUUGUUCGCAGCCUAGAAGAUGUCAGCUCUUUGUGGUGACGUGACAGGUUCUCUGCCCUUCUGUCCUUCUCUUCCCACAGCUAGAGUUACUUCAGCCCACCAUGGUCCUCUGCCUCCUUUCCCACUCUGUAUAAAACCAGGAGCCUGUCGUUCUCCUAUUAAAUCCUGCAGGGCACUAAGUUCUGCUCCCCAGCACAAGUUCUUUGGGCGAGCCCCUCCCUCGAGACCUAACGUCAGCAUAUCCCAGGAGUCUCUGUCACCACACACUUCCUAUUGGCGCAAUGGUUGCUGCUCUGAGCCUUUAGUUAUCUUAAAUUAUUUCUACACCCCACUACCCCCAUUCAUGCAAAAUGGAUAUCCCCACUUGUACUGUUCAGUGUUGUUAUAGGAAUUAAAUAAGAUAUGCAAAGAACCUAGCACAGUUCCUGGCACGUGGAAGGCUCACAGGAAAUGUGAGCGGUGGUAUUAUUAUAAUCUCCCUGCUCCCUACCUCGUGCUGAAUCUCUCUAAGGUUGGCCCCUCUGUUUGGUCCGAUAAUUUUCCUUUCCUGGCAACUGUUCUUUGCCUGGAUGCUUGAUGUUGACUUCAUUCCUUUUCCCACAACUGCGCAUGUCCCCAAGUGUACAUUCCAUUUCAGUCCUCCUGUAAACUGUCCAAGUUCAGGCCCCUCCUGAAUGGCAAGUCCCACUGCCUUCUGACCUGUCAGUUUCAGAUGGUUCGCUUGUUAACACAACGGUAGAAGGAAUAAAGGACUCCUCAGGUGAUCCAACCAACUUCUUAUUUGCGAGGUUAAAAUUUUAAGCCAACUCUUGUGUUGAACGCCUUCUCAUUAUGACUUGGAAGCAACUAGAUCUCUGUGGAAGCAGUCUCAAAUACCGUGCUAAAUGUGCAAUUUUCUUGAGCAUACCUGUGGCAAAUCUGCCUUUCUCAAAGCCAAUCUGAGGAAGGAUCAAGAGAGACAACAUUUCAUUUGGCAUCGUUAUCAAGUAUAGGAAAUGAUUGCAAAAGUUGUGUGAAGGAUGGAAAUGGGCCUUAUAAUCAAUAUCAGAUAAGCUGCUUUUUGUCACUCUUCUGAAUAACUGUGAUCAAAGCUGACACAAAACCAGAUCAAGCUUUUAUUAUUUCUCAAUUAUACGUAAAGAACUGGGAUGGAAAGUCUUUUUGAAUGCUGCAAGUAAAAUCUUCCAGGCCGAAGGUUUGGGUAAUAAUAGGCAUGCUUUUACAGUCCUUUCUAGUUUACAAACAGCAUUGUAUUUCGUCCUCACAGUACCUGAGGGGAGCACAGCCCACACUUGCUCCAGUAAUGGAAUGUGUGUAAACCUGUGUCUCCAUGCAACUAAUUCUUAAUCAUCAGUAGUGAGCACUUUGUGUGUGCAUAUACACAGAGAGAGUGAGAGAGAAGGGUCGGCGGAGAGAAGAAAAACAAAUGAGCAUGUCAGCAUAAGCUCAAUAAAGAAUGAAUUUUCAUGGGAAAUGGAAAAUGCACCCAGAAUGCUUGGAAGAGCUGUUAAUAUUAGUCCUUGUUAGUGUUUAGGAGAGAGAGAGCAAAAGAGGUGGGUGGGGGGAGUGAGAGAUCUGUUUAUGUUUGCCACCUUAAUUAAAACACUCUUUGGACUGUCUGUUCCCAGGAUUUCUACCGGUUCAGCCGUUUUGUUAUAUAAUGGACUCUUCUUUGUCUUCAUAUAGCUCUAAAAAUACUUGGAACAAAAUCACUCUUCUUUACUGUGAUGGAAUUGUUGCUUUUUCAUCCACCCUCACACUAAAUCUCCUUCAGAAUCUUGCUCUUUAUCUCAUCCUUGAUCCCCACCUCGAGUUACAUGUGGAUUCAAAUCCAUACAGCCCCUGUGAACCUCAGUGUCAUCAGCCAGAACACAGGGACCAUACAUACCUUCUCAAGUUAUUGAGAUGCUGCAUCAACGACAAGUGCAGUGUCUUACACCCUAAGAGGGGUCCCAUAAAUGUUCCUUUCAUUUCCUCUCUGGCUCCACCUUUUCCUCUUUCCUACUUUUUGGUAUCAUUUAGGCGAUCCUUCUGUAGAGACCAGGGGACAAAGAGACACAGGCUGCCAUCUGCCUGCCACCUCCAUCCCAACACGCCCUCAUUAAUUCAGGAGAAGCGAACUGAGCAGGAGUGCAGAGGCAGGUGCUGACCAGGUCAUGAAGUUGGUCUUACAGAGAAGAAAAAUGUGUCCGUCUCUUCCUUCAGUUCUCCCUGAACGUGGCCUCAACCCAAGUUGUAAAAUUUACUUCGCACCAUUCCCGCCAUAUGCUUUGACCCUACUUGACAAUUUUCCGACUCAGGAGCAGAGAGCCAUGCCCACCCCGCCCUCUGCUCUUGUGGUUUCCUCUAUGCAGAGGGCUCUUUCCUCACUUCUCUUUUAAAAGCCCACGCUCUUUAAAAGUUACCAUUCCCAAGAAGCCGGGCUGGCCCUUAAGCAACCCUUUUCACUGUCAUUCUCCAUGCCACUCCCCACCAGGACCUAGCCACCAAACACAAUGGAUGUGAUUUAAUUUCCCUUGAGCCCUUAAAUUGUACGUUUGCAUCUCUCAGGCAGUAUCUAUCCCAUGUUUCUACUUUGCCUUCUCCCAGCAUGUAGUCAAGGCACGACUUUGUGCUUCAGUUAUUUCGGUACCUCUGUCUAGACUCUAAGUUCGUGAAUUCCCUGAGGUCAGACAUAUCCUCCUCAUCUCUGAAGAUCCCUCUACUACCCUACUGACCUUUCCCAGUAGGGGCUAAAAUAUUUAUUGAAUUCAAUUGAAUUGAACUUAUUUCCCCUUAUUUUAGAGGAAGCUUAAAGGAGUAGGGUCCCUAGAGUUGUCAGAUAAAACACAGGAUGCCUGUUAAAUUUGAAUCUCGGAUAAACAAUAAGUAAUUUUUAGUAUAAGUAUUUCUCACAUAUUACAUGGGAUAUACUUAUACUAAAAAUUUAUUUGUUGUUUAUCUAAAACUCAAAUUUAACUGAAUAGCCCAUAUUUUUAUUUGCUAAAUCUGGCAACUCUAACUGGGAACCAUGUGGCAAAAGGCAACAAAGGGGGAAGAGAUCAUAUUUAAUGGAAGCAUUUUGGAGGGAUAGAUUCAAAGUCAAGGCAGAUUUUGACACUAUCCUGAGACGACUGCCAUGACGUUCAUACUAACCCUCUCCAUCCAUCGCCAGCACUCAUCUCUUCAACAGUAGCAUCAACACUCGUCUGGGAGACACACAGCUGUCUGUGCCCUGGAGAAGCCCCUCCAGUGAAGUCCACAGGUGGUCCUGAAGCCUGCCACACCCUUGCUCCUCCCUCGCACGUUCUCUGAGCCAGACCCCUGGAUCCCACGAUGGAAAAGAAUCAGGGAGGAAGAUUAGCCCUGAGCUAACUGCUGCCAAUCCUCCUCUUUUUGCUGAGAAAGACUAGCCCUGAGCUAACAUCCGUGCCCAUCUUCCUCUACUUUAUAUGUGGGAUGCCUAGCACAGCAUGGCUUUCACCAAGCGGUGAAACCAAGCCAUGUCUGCACCUAGAAUCUGAACCGGCCAACCCUGGGCGGCCAAGAAGCGGAAUGUGCAAACUUAACUGCUGUGCCACUGGGCCGGCCCCGUCUUUAAUCCAUUUUGAGUUUAUUUUUGUAUAUAUGAUCCAGCAUUACCAUUUCUGGAUAUUUAUUCAAAGAAAAUGAAAACACUAAUUUGAAAAGAAUCUGCACCAUUGUGUUCAUUGCAGCAUUAUUUACAAUAGACAAGAUAUGAAAGCAACCUAAGUGCCCACUGAUGGACGAAUGGAUAAAGAAGACAUGGUAUAUACAUACAAUGGAAUAUUACUCAGCCAUAAAAAAGAAUGGAAUCCUCCCAUUUGCAACACCAUGGAUGCAUCUAGAGGGUAUUAUGCUAAGUGAAAUAACCAGGGAAAGAAGAACACUGUAUGAUUUCACUUAUAUGUGGAAUCUAAAAAGAAACAAAACAAAUGAACAAACAAAAGAAAACAGAAACAGACUCACAGACACAGAGAGCAAAUUGGUGGUUGCCAGAGAGGAUGGGGAAUGGCGGGAAGGUGUAGAGAAACAGGUGUGGGGGAUAAGAGGUACAAACUUCCAGUCAUGAAAGAAAGAAGUUGUGAGGAUGUAAUAUACAGCAUAGGGAAGACAGUCAGCAACAUUGUAAUAACUCUGUAUGGUGACAGAUGGUAACUAGUCUUAUCAGGGGGAUUGCUUUUUGAUGUAAAUAAAUGUUGAAUCGCUAUGUUGUACACCUGAAACUAGUACAAUCUUGUACGUCAACUAUACUUCAAUAAAAACAAACAAGCAAACAACACAAAAGAGUGCGUGCUUUAAACUCUCGGCAAGGCGCGGGC
This 5943-nucleotide long non-coding RNA is filed under the name Equus asinus (donkey). Its description in RNAcentral is "lncRNA (ENSEASG00005028181.1)". The record is from RNAcentral. Lineage: Eukaryota; Metazoa; Chordata; Mammalia; Perissodactyla; Equidae.